Molecule: long non-coding RNA, 224 nt
Filed under: Capsicum annuum
Lineage: Eukaryota; Viridiplantae; Streptophyta; Magnoliopsida; Solanales; Solanaceae
Description: long non-coding RNA (CANN_LNC018027)
Source: RNAcentral
GAUGAUGUGUUGGUUGAACGACCAUCAUUCUUUAAUUUAUGCUAAAAUAUUUUGAACUAGAGUGCUCAAAUAGAGCUAAAGUUUUCUUAAGUGUCUCUACCACAUUGCUCCCUUCUUCUAAAGCACUUGCCUAGGACUUCGCUCCUUUUGGAGUUGAAGAUCCAAAAAUUAGAGUUGGUUUGGACUAUACCUGAUGUGUUUGUUGUCCUAGCAUGCCAGCCUUU